GGCGCGGUGGCGGAACUGGCAUACGCGUAGGUCUCAAAAACCUAUGGAGAUAAAACUCUGUGAGGGUUCGACCCCCUCCCGCGCCA
This 86-nucleotide transfer RNA is filed under the name Candidatus Microgenomates bacterium. Its description in RNAcentral is "tRNA-Leu". It matches the Rfam family "tRNA". Rfam says of the family: Transfer RNA (tRNA) molecules are approximately 80 nucleotides in length. Their secondary structure includes four short double-helical elements and three loops (D, anti-codon, and T loops). The record is from RNAcentral. Lineage: Bacteria; Candidatus Microgenomatota.